UCCCCGGCAGUCCAGUGGUUAGGACCCUGCAUUUCCACUUCAGAGGCACAGGUUCGAUCCCUGGUCAGGGAA
Molecule: non-coding RNA, 72 nt
Organism: Bos taurus (domestic cattle)
Lineage: Eukaryota; Metazoa; Chordata; Mammalia; Artiodactyla; Bovidae
Source: Rfam